GGAAGGAUGUUUGCAACAGCGAUAAGGUUGGUAGGGAGGAAACCAAAACCAAAGAUGAAACCAAUUAAGCUUAAAACUCCACCCGAGCAGACACAAACCAUCACCAGAACCAUUUUCGAUAUCGUCAAGGAGCAUGGACCUCUCAAUAUUGCCGAAACCUGGGAUCGUGUAAAGGAUGUUGGCUUGAGAGGCUUGACAAGCAAAGGGCACAUGAAGAUUGUUUUAAGAUGGAUGAGGGAAAGACAAAAGCUUAAGCUUAUCUGCAAUCACGUAGGGCCCCAGAAGAAAUUUCUGUAUACGACAUGGUUCACAAAUCCAAAUACAAUGCAUACAAAGCCGGGAUCUGAUAUUUCCUCACCAAAUACAAAGCAGAUAUUUUCAGGAAGUAAUAUUACCCGGCCAAAGUCAUCAUAAACCCUAUAAUGCGGUGUCUGAUUAUGAACCAAGGACUUAACGGAGCUUUCUAUCAUUGAGUAGUUUAUUGUAUUUCAAGUAUUGCACUAUUUUUCUGCGGUUAUUGUUCUUUCUUGUAGACUUUUACAUUGCUUUUCUUAUUAACUGCUAUGCUUUAUUUUGGCUUGAUACACUUCAGCCAAGAGUCUUCCGGAAACAGCC
This 615-nucleotide unclassified non-coding RNA is filed under the name Hevea brasiliensis (rubber tree). The record is from RNAcentral. Lineage: Eukaryota; Viridiplantae; Streptophyta; Magnoliopsida; Malpighiales; Euphorbiaceae.